CCGCCGAAUCGCAAAGAUGAUGCUCCGAGUUCGCAGCAGAGACGGGCUCGAACGAGUCACGGUGGAGAACCCACAGAACACCACCGUCUCCGAACUCAAAUCCUUGAUACAAACUCCAGCUUGUCUUCUUCCCCAUUUAUCCUCGAUCUCCCUUUCUCUCUCUCUCUCUUCCCCUUCUCCAGAUCAUCAAGAGCAACCAAUGAAAACAAGCAAGAUACUUAUUCUGGGAUACUCCUUGCAAAUACAAAGAAAGACAGCUCACCGCAGAGGAGAGGCACUGAUCUGGUCAUAAAGCACAUCUCCAAUUCUAAAGUUUCCAAUAGAAGCAGCUCCAUGGAGGCAGCCACACAGAAGCAAGGGUUCUCAACGAUCAGAUUUCAAGCAACAAGAAGAACCUAUAAAAGCUCCAAAUUCAUCAUCUUCAGUAUAUGGUGAAAUGAAAAAAAGGAUGGCAGAUCUUGAGUUCAAAAAAUCAGGAAAUGAUCUCAGAGCUCUUAAGCAAAUACUUGAAGCGAUGCAGAAGACGAAAGGAAUGAUAGAUACAAGAAAGGAUCACCCCUCAAAUUUUGCAUCUCAAACAAAGCAAUGAAAGCAUUUCUUUAGACAGCACGGUAUCAGCAAGCCAGAGAUACCUACAAAGUAACAUAUCAGUUCCUGCCAUGGCCAAGGGUUCCCAAUCUCCAAAGAGUUAUAAAUCACCCACCUUUUCGACUGAAAAUCUGACAGAGGAAGAGGAAGCCAUGGCCACCCAACAACCCAUCUCGAAGAAGAUGGCUUGCGUCGUCGGCAGAACCGGGUU
RNAcentral lists this long non-coding RNA (799 nucleotides) under Malus domestica (apple). RNAcentral describes it as "long non-coding RNA (MDOM_LNC001714)". Lineage: Eukaryota; Viridiplantae; Streptophyta; Magnoliopsida; Rosales; Rosaceae. The record is from RNAcentral.